This 421-nucleotide ribosomal RNA is filed under the name uncultured Dysgonomonas sp. RNAcentral describes it as "bacterial SSU rRNA". It matches the Rfam family "Bacterial small subunit ribosomal RNA", at positions 356 to 774 of the family's 1533-position model. The record is from RNAcentral. Lineage: Bacteria; Pseudomonadati; Bacteroidota; Bacteroidia; Bacteroidales; Dysgonomonadaceae.
GAGGAAUAUUGGUCAAUGGGCGCGAGCCUGAACCAGCCACGUCGCGUGAAGGAUGACGGCCUUAUGGGUUGUAAACUUCUUUUACAGGGGAAUAAAGUGAGUCACGUGUGAUUUUUUGCAUGUACCCUGUGAAUAAGCAUCGGCUAACUCCGUGCCAGCAGCCGCGGUAAUACGGAGGAUGCGAGCGUUAUCCGGAUUUAUUGGGUUUAAAGGGUGCGUAGGCGGGAUAUUAAGUCAGCGGUGAAAGUUUUCGGCUCAACCUUAAAAUUGCCGUUGAAACUGUUAUUCUUGAGUGCAGUAGAGGUAGGCGGAAUUCGUUGUGUAGCGGUGAAAUGCGUAGAUAUAACGAGGAACUCCGAUUGCGUAGGCAGCUUACUAUAUUGCUACUGACGCUGAGGCACGAAAGUGUGGGUAUCAAACA